AGGUGCGAUCAUACCAGCACUAAUGCACCGGAUCCCAUCAGAACUCCGCAGUUAAGCGUGCUUGGGCGAGAGUGAGAGUAGUACUAGGAUGGGUGACCUCCUGGGAAGUCCUGUGUUGCACCUC
Molecule: ribosomal RNA, 124 nt
Organism: Lathyrus oleraceus (garden pea)
Lineage: Eukaryota; Viridiplantae; Streptophyta; Magnoliopsida; Fabales; Fabaceae
Source: RefSeq, a predicted model, not a curated record